ACGAGAGUGGCUUAGUGGAAGCUUGGUGGGCUCAUAAUCCACAGGUCCUAGGAAGAUCGAAACCUGCCUCUGAUA
Molecule: non-coding RNA, 75 nt
Organism: Zostera marina
Lineage: Eukaryota; Viridiplantae; Streptophyta; Magnoliopsida; Alismatales; Zosteraceae
Source: the annotation of a GenBank genome assembly